Molecule: ribosomal RNA, 500 nt
Filed under: uncultured bacterium
Lineage: Bacteria
Description: partial 16S ribosomal RNA
Rfam family: Bacterial small subunit ribosomal RNA
Source: RNAcentral
AUUGAACGCUGGCGGAAUGCUUUACACAUGCAAGUCGAACGGCAGCACGGACUUCGGUCUGGUGGCGAGUGGCGAACGGGUGAGUAAUGUAUCGGAACGUGCCCAGUCGUGGGGGAUAACGUAGUGAAAAUUACGCUAAUACCGCAUACGAUCUAUGGAUGAAAGCGGGGGAUCGCAAGACCUCGCGCGAUUGGAGCGGCCGAUAUCAGAUUAGGUAGUUGGUGGGGUAAAGGCCUACCAAGCCAACAAUCUGUAGCUGGUCUGAGAGGACGACCAGCCACACUGGAACUGAGACACGGUCCAGACUCCUACGGGAGGCAGCAGUGGGGAAUUUUGGACAAUGGGCGAAAGCCUGAUCCAGCCAUUCCGCGUGCAGGAUGAAGGCCCCCGGGUUGUAAACUGCUUUUGUACAGAACGAAAAGGUUUCUACUAAUACUAGGAGCUCAUGACGGUACUGUAAGAAUAAGCACCGGCUAACUACGUGCCAGCCGCCGCGGUAA